Molecule: long non-coding RNA, 391 nt
Organism: Vidua macroura (Pin-tailed whydah)
Lineage: Eukaryota; Metazoa; Chordata; Aves; Passeriformes; Viduidae
Exons: 3
Source: RefSeq, a predicted model, not a curated record
UAGAAACAACAGGCCAGCAGGAGCAGCUAUCAGAGCAGUUUGCCAUUUCCUGUUGUCCUGAUCUCUCUUGUGGAUACUGGUGCAGGGGAACCAGGAGUGCAAUACUGUUGCUUCCAUCCCAAAGGCCACCUGGACAAUCAGGAUGAAUCCCACUGAGUGUCAACAAGCAAUAUUCUACUGCUAUGAAGGGAUGCUUCAUUUUAGCUUGACAGAUAGAAAUCAGAGCCUUUCAAUGGAAUGUGCACAGAUGGUGUGUGGCUUAUGCCUUGAAGACAGAAAACAUGAACUUAUCCAGUGAAGACAGGAAACAUGAACUUCAGCUUUUUAGAAAGAAAAGCAGUUGUUGAUGGCAUGUGCAGAUAAGAAGCAGGUGUGCAAUGUGCACAGUGAG